CAGUAGCCGCGGUAAUACGAGGGGGGCAAGCGUUGUUCGGAUUUAUUGGGCGUAAAGGGUGCGUAGGCGGUUUGGCAAGUCUUGCGUGAAAUCUUCGGGCUCAACCCGAAGCCUGCACGAGAAACUACCGGGCUUGAGUAUUGGAGAGGUGAGUGGAAUUUCCGGUGUAGCGGUGAAAUGCGUAGAGAUCGGAAGGAACACCUGUGGCGAAAGCGGCUCACUGGACCAUUUCUGACGCUGAUGCACGAAAGCUAGGGGAGCAAACAGGAUUAGAUACCCCAGUAGUCCCUGUCUCUUAUAC
Molecule: ribosomal RNA, 301 nt
Filed under: uncultured bacterium
Lineage: Bacteria
Description: partial 16S ribosomal RNA
Rfam family: Bacterial small subunit ribosomal RNA
Source: RNAcentral